AAUAUUUUGAACUUCCAUGGCUGCCAAAAUGGAACACCACCCUAAAUCAUCAAAACCUCAACAUUUCUUCAUAAAUCAACUCACUACAACACCCACACAAACUUUAACAAAGAAAGGAUGAAGAAAUGGUUACUUACCUCUUGUGGACUUCCUCAAAUCUCCACUAAAUCUCUUCUUUCUUGUUCCCUAAAGGCUACCUAAGGUGUGUAGACCACUUUUAAUGAAGACACUUAUAGGAAUCAUGACUUGAAUCAUGGUAGAUGAGGACUUUGCAUGAAACGGCCAUAGGAGAGUUUGGGAGAAACCAUUUUCGGCCAUGAGAGAGCUUAGUGAGGAUGAUGAAGUGAGUGGGGAAAUCUAUCCUUAUUUUAAGUAUUUAUGUGUCUACUUAGUGCUCCACUAAAUAUAGUUUAAUUAUAUUAUAAUCUAAGGCUUCAAUAAUUACAAUUUUGACCUUAAUUUUUCUUAAAUUACAUUUUAUCUUUAAUUCUAUUUUUCAUUAGAUUUUCUAAAUGUAAUACCAUUUAUUUUUCA
Molecule: unclassified non-coding RNA, 534 nt
Filed under: Hevea brasiliensis (rubber tree)
Lineage: Eukaryota; Viridiplantae; Streptophyta; Magnoliopsida; Malpighiales; Euphorbiaceae
Source: RNAcentral